Carica papaya (papaya) is the source of this 1797-nucleotide RNA transcript. It is a transcript of the gene named adenine nucleotide transporter 1, with no coding region annotated. NCBI's taxonomy places the organism in Eukaryota, Viridiplantae, Streptophyta, Magnoliopsida, Brassicales, Caricaceae. The record is from RefSeq and is a predicted model, not a curated record.
AGGAUUCCGAUAUAUAUGUGCAAGACGCUUAAUGAUCAAACGCCGUCACGCUCAGCGCUCAGCUUAUUGCCUUGUCGUUGUUGGUUGAGCCCUCACUUUCAGUUCCAAAAGCCGUCUCCACCACACCUCAACGCCACAAGAACCAAAGGAGAGAGAAAUGCAGCAUUUCUCUGACCGAUAAACGAGACGGACUUCCGAUUCCAUUGAUCGCCGGAAAUCGGAUACAGAGAUCUCCAGCCCCGUUGACCUAGGGUUCCGUCUAGCUGUCGUCUGAUACUUUUGGUUCUUUUUUUCCGUUUUCUCUCAGUUAUUGUUCCUAUUAAUGGCAUCAGAGGAUGUUAAGACGAGUGAAUCGGCAGUCUCGACGAUCGUGAAUCUGGCCGAGGAGGCGAAGCUGGCGAGGGAGGGCGUAAAGGCUCCAAGCUAUGCGAUUCUCAGUAUCUGCAAAUCACUCGUGGCUGGUGGAGUCGCCGGUGGAGUGUCAAGAACUGCUGUUGCUCCGUUGGAAAGGUUGAAGAUAUUGCUGCAGGUUCAAAAUCCUCAUAAUAUAAAGUAUAAUGGAACAAUCCAAGGCUUGAAAUAUAUUUGGAGAACUGAGGGAUUUCGUGGAUUGUUCAAAGGCAAUGGCACUAAUUGUGCUCGUAUUGUUCCGAACUCUGCUGUCAAAUUCUUCAGCUAUGAGCAAGCUUCUAAGGGAAUACUUUAUCUUUAUCAACAGCAGACUGGGAAUGAAGAUGCUCAACUCACUCCUGUCUUACGCCUUGGGGCUGGGGCAUGUGCUGGAAUAAUUGCCAUGUCUGCAACAUAUCCCAUGGAUAUGGUACGCGGCAGGUUAACAGUGCAGACAGAGAAGUCUCUCUAUCAAUACAGAGGAAUGUUCCAUGCCUUGUCAACUGUACUCCGAGAAGAAGGUCCCCGAGCAUUGUACAAGGGCUGGCUUCCAUCUGUUAUUGGAGUUAUUCCUUAUGUGGGUCUGAACUUUGCUGUGUAUGAAUCACUAAAGGAUUGGUUAAUUAAAUCUAAACCAUUUGGGCUAGUUCAAGAUUCUGAGUUGAGUGUGACAACAAGGCUUGCAUGUGGGGCUGCUGCUGGAACUGUUGGGCAAACUGUGGCUUACCCACUUGAUGUCAUUCGCCGAAGAAUGCAGAUGGUUGGAUGGAAAGAUGCUUCCUCAAUUGUUACUGGUGAUGGAAGAAGCAAGGCAUCCCUUGAAUAUACUGGAAUGAUUGAUGCAUUUAGGAAAACCGUUCGUUAUGAGGGCUUUGGAGCAUUAUACAAGGGUUUGGUCCCCAAUUCUGUGAAGGUAGUUCCAUCCAUUGCUAUUGCAUUUGUGACGUAUGAAGUGGUCAAGGACAUUUUAGGAGUUGAGAUUAGAAUAUCAGACUGACUUUCAAGACCUCCAUAUGGUUUCUUCAACAAGUGUGCUAUUUUUGUAGGCAAGGGGAUUAGAGAGAAGAUAACCUAGGGAUCAUUGAGUCUGCCCGGCUCUGUCCAUGCGAUGGUUGUUGGUUCCACAUAUCAAGCUGGUUUUAUUUUUGCAUGGAGGAAGGGUUCAUUCUCACCAACAGAACCGUCAUUAGAAUAAUGGAAAGAUUUCCAAAUAAAUUCUCGUGUACUCAUAUUUCAUGAGUUUUCCUGAUUUGCUUCCAUUUUUCUGCUUUUUCUUUUUGCUGUUACAAGAAGAGAGAGGAAUGACGGAAAUACUGAUAUAUUUAACUAUUUUGCUGCUGGGAAGAAUGAGAGUAAUAACAUGAUUAUGAUACAAUAAAAUUAUUCAAGAUAAUAUUAUCUUUGGUA